CCUCAGGGCUAGGACCCCAGGGCUGGUUCUCCCCCCAGGCUGCCACCCCCGGUCAUGGAGGCCCGAGGUCUGGGAUCUGCCCUAGCCCAGAUCCAGGCUCUGGGCCCCAAGGACCAUCCCUCCCACCUGCCCCCGGGCCAGGCUCCAGAAGCCUCCAGAAAGCCCCCGUUUCCCAGGUGCAUCCCCCGUCCCACCUGCCGGGCUUUCUCAAUGGUGGGAGGUGGAUGGGUGAGUCGCGGGGUGGGGGAGGGGGGCGUCUUGCUCGGACCUUCUGUUGCUUUGGGUCGGCUUUGGCCCGUUCUGCGAUGACCCCGGUUAUUUCUCCCCCCCCUCCCCAGGUGGCAAGAUGACACCCCUACCUCAUACCUCUCUCUGUGGCCGAGGAGCAGACAGAAACCUCUUCCCCAUGCAAAGUCCGGAGAGAAACUGAGGCACGCAGCAGCAAAAGGCAACAGCAGCUUCCCCCUUCGUCCCAGCUGCUUUUGCGGGGGUGGAGGGCUGAGGCAGCCGGCACCCGGGGGUCACGCGGUUCCCCUUCCCAGCAGGCAGAGACCCCGGUUUGGUCACUGACUGUGCCAUGGGUGGGGCUGGGCCCCAGCUCCAGCAUUGGGGGGCAGAGAAAAGUGAAGCCUGCAGAAUUAGCUGCAGCAUCCACCAGAGCCCCCACCGGGCCCCUGAACCCCCAAUCCCAGCAGCAGAGAUGGCACCAGUGGCUGGAGUGAACGUGGUGGUGGUGGUGGACGGGAGCUGUAUCCUCCAAUACACUCAUCGGGACUCUCCCUGCCAUUGUCUCUGCCAUGGGGAUGCCCUGCUGGCCUGCCAGCCUCCUGCCUGCUAUGGGACCGCUGCACCCUGCAGCCCCCCUGCCGCUGGGUCCCCCCUCUCCCGCCGGGCCCGGGGCCUGGGGGUCCGCUGCGGCACUGAGUUUUGCCUGGGGGAGGAAGAGGAGCAGGCAGAGCGGAGACCCUGCCACCAGGGGGCGCCCCCCCACCAUGCCCCCCCGCCCAGCCGGCUGACGCCGGUGCCCCUGCCCCGCAGCGCCACGGGGCCCUGGUUUACGGUGGAGGCACCAAAGGACGGUGGACCCGGGGCCCAGGUGGCCAGGAUCUGGGACCGGGGGCGCUGCCCCGUGCUGGAGGAGGGCGACCUCGUGGCCAAGGUGAACGGGGCCGACGUGAGGGGCCUCAGGCCCCAGGAGGUGGAGAAUGUCCUGCAGCAGCACACGCGAGCUGGGGACGUCAUCCUGCUGGUGGAGCGGAGAGGUAAGGGGGGCUGUGGGCACUGGGGGGUGCCACUCGUGGCCAUUUCACUUCCUGCCUGACCCACUAGGGGAAACCAGGGGGCCGUG
RNAcentral lists this long non-coding RNA (1348 nucleotides) under Gopherus agassizii (Agassiz's desert tortoise). Its description in RNAcentral is "lncRNA (ENSGAGG00000003759.1)". Lineage: Eukaryota; Metazoa; Chordata; Testudines; Testudinidae. The record is from RNAcentral.